RNAcentral lists this long non-coding RNA (202 nucleotides) under Musa acuminata (dwarf banana). RNAcentral's name for it is "long non-coding RNA (MACU_LNC003173)". The record is from RNAcentral. Lineage: Eukaryota; Viridiplantae; Streptophyta; Magnoliopsida; Zingiberales; Musaceae.
GAGAGGCUGGCAGUGCGAGAAGGAGUCGGCCAUCGCUUUCUCAAGGUGAAACGGCUACAGAUACUUGACCAUUUCCCAUCAUCACUUCAGUGAAGACACAAGAAUCCAUUAUUAAUUGGUGAUAGAAGCUUGCUGGUGGACCACCACACCUUCCGCCCACCUCCGACGCCAAGGCAUGACGAACUGGCACAUUUACUUAAAC